This 253-nucleotide ribosomal RNA is filed under the name uncultured bacterium. RNAcentral describes it as "partial 16S ribosomal RNA". It matches the Rfam family "Bacterial small subunit ribosomal RNA", at positions 524 to 776 of the family's 1533-position model. The record is from RNAcentral.
UACGUAGGGACCAAGCGUUGUUCGGAAUUACUGGGCGUAAAGGGCGCGUAGGCGGCCUUCUAAGUCGAACGUGAAAUCCCCGGGCUCAACCCGGGAACUGCGUCCGAUACUGGGAGGCUUGAAUCCGGGAGAGGGAUGUGGAAUUCCAGGUGUAGCGGUGAAAUGCGUAGAUAUCUGGAGGAACACCGGUGGCGAAGGCGGCAUCCUGGACCGGUAUUGACGCUGAGGCGCGAAAGCCAGGGGAGCAAACGGG